This is a long non-coding RNA of Bombus terrestris (buff-tailed bumblebee), 2679 nucleotides long. RefSeq lists it as uncharacterized. The transcript is spliced from 3 exons. Lineage: Eukaryota; Metazoa; Arthropoda; Insecta; Hymenoptera; Apidae. The record is from RefSeq and is a predicted model, not a curated record.
GUUUUCUCUAAAACGAAGUUUCUUUUUUUUUUUUAGAAAAGACAUAAUGCAAUAAACUUUGAGACUAAUUUUACCGAAGACAGAUACAUUUAUCUUUUAGACAAUUAAAAACUCAUGAAUGUACAACGUGAAAUAAAGUACAGUAUGUCGUGUAUGUGCAACAUGAAGCGUAAAAUAGUUCGAAAUUUUAUGAAAACUAAAAAUAUAUAGUACAGUAACGUUGUAAGAUAUUCAAAUGGAUUUUUAUUUGAUUUCAAUUAUAAUACUUGAUGCCGCUAUUAUAGUACGAUACUAAAUCGUUUGUUGUUUUGAUAAAGAAACAAAUUGAAGGAGAAAAAUGUUUUUAGCUGUCGAGAUAAUGUCGCAAUAGACGAAAACCGAUAAGCGACUAUUAUUAUUGUUAUUAUUAUUGUUUCCAUAUCUAUACUUUAUUUGAAUGCGGUCAGCAAUAAACCUUACGAAUUAAAGAUAUCAGAAGAUCAGCCAUUGUUCUAAUUUUUCUGCUAUAUACAUAAACCUACUUUAUUUGUAGAUUUGGCAGAUUUACGGCACUAUUGUAUAGUGGCAUAAAAAUACACGUAAUAAUAUUUUAUUAGAUUGCAAGAGCGAGGUAAGUUAUAAACAUUCGUUAAGGAAAUUGAUAAAUCUGUAGGAAUAAAACGACGCGAUGAAAAACAUCGUGUAAUUUAGGGUUUACUUUAAAAGUUGCGCUGGCAAUAUUUGGAAAAAAAAAAAAAAAAGAAAAUGAGACAAAGAAUCGCUUUAAAAAUUGGAAAGCGAACCGAUCAUAAAUAUCACACGUCGAAACAAUUCGUUUUGACAAUUUUAGAACGGUUGAGUAAUUUAAUUAACGAUACCGACAGACUUAUAUUGGAGUUUGUUUGGAAGAUUGGACGUGUAAUAUUAAAAAUAAGAUUUCUUGAAAUAAACUGGAAAGUGAAUCGAUGACAAAUACUAUAUAAUUUAGAGAAAUUUAUUUCGUUGAUGUUCCGACAAUGGAAUAAGAUUAUUAUCAGCAUCGUGAGAUUUAUAGAUAUUCGUUUCUUUCGUAUUAUUAUAGUAUCCGAUAUAUGGAAACCAGUUUCAGGAAUUAUUUUACAGAGAUAUUGUUAUUUUUAUCGAAACGGAGGAAGUUAAUUGACAGCGGCAGCGCGCGGUUUAUAGAUAUCCAGCCAGAAAGUUAAAAACGACGUUGGAACAGAAUUUACUCAUUAUGAGAUCGUGUAGAUUCUAUAUAGUUUAAAGGAAUUCGUUUCACAAAUAAUCUUAGAAAAGCUGUUAACUUUAUCGGUAUAGAAUGUGUUAAUUAACCAUAUCUAACAGUAUAUGUAUGAUGAAGAGGAUAACAGCAAGAUAUAAUAAGAUAUCCAUCAAGAAAGAUUCAAGAUAAUUUAAGAACAGAAUCGUUUCAUCUUAAUGCUAUAUAGCUGCGAAGAAUUAGUUUAAAGAAUUACUUUUGACGAAUUGUAAAUAUUGUUAGACAUAAUCCAGCUAAACGAAGCUCCAUUUAAUUUGUCGAAUCCUGCUUCAGAGAUCGAAGUUUACGCAAUUGAAUUAAAUUAUAUCUGAAAGAUUAUUAUCUCAGUUAGACGUGAUAAAAGAUUGUUACAAUAAAUACACUCUUAUUGUUAAUUUAUAGUAUCACACGUGUCAGUUUACGAAUAUUUUCAAGUCUCACGGCACGACUUUAUAUCUGUUGGCUGAUCUUACGGGAGGACAGGAGAGAGAAUUUUCUGUUGCCAAGUGUUAUGAAGUGGAAUGAAGAGAUACAGCAGGAACAAGUGUUAAUUGGAACGAUCAAAUUUUAAUAGAAGCAAAAUCUGAUAAACAAGAUGCAUAUCUACAGAAAGCAACGAACCUCGCAGCCAGGUUAUCGACCAUCGCCAACGUCCUAUUCCAAUUUCUACAGUAAAUGUAAGAACUACCUGAUUUCCUCGUCUCAUCGAUUAUUUCAUCCUUCCGGCAAGCCGGUAAAAAUACCAACGAUUCCUAUUAAAAAGUCAAGAAGGAAACAAGAUCUUUCGAAACGGAGUCAUGCGAGAUCAGAAGAAAGCCAAAAGCCAAUUUAGCAAUUAUCCUCAAAGUGCUCAUCCCAUAGCCAUGCUCUUACGAAAUCCGGAGAUUUCUCGUCUCGCUAAAUUAACCAUUUCUCAGACGCCUGAUUGGCCGUAGUCUAAACCAGCGUAGAAACAAUUUUCUAUUCCCAGAGGUAGCUGCGAGGCAAGAUAAAAGAGGCGCAACAAGAGAAGCGGAAGGAAGAGCAGAAGUACAGAAUGGGGUCUAUUACUUAUACAGUUCAUAAGCUGCUUAGAAGGCCGCCUGCAGUGAGAUCCAGAGAAUUGCGAGAAGAGCGUGCACAGAAAGCGAGAAGCUCGCGCUCGUUGUCGCGAUUAUAAUAAUGAUCGAGCGAUCGUGACACGUUGCAUGUGUUCCGUGGAAAUUUGUGGAAACAAACGAGUAACUGGCAAAUUUAUGCGUGGAUGUGUGCACGUGCUUGUGCUCGACACACGAGAGAAUAGUCUAACGAGAACGUAGCUGGGAAAACGAUGCGAGCAGACAGCAGCAGCCAAUGGAAUGCAAGUUUCGCGCAGCAGCCAGCAACCAGCCACAGCCGGUGGGAUGCACGAAGUUUGAUGAGUACUCGCCUCGAGGACUCGGCUUCAGGCUCCAGCCAAGUCU